RNAcentral lists this ribosomal RNA (483 nucleotides) under uncultured bacterium. RNAcentral describes it as "partial 16S rRNA". The record is from RNAcentral.
GCACGGAGUUAGCCGGGGCUUUCUCUGGGGGUACCGUCACACCCCGAAUAAUCGGAGUCGUUCGUCCCCUCUAACAGAGGUUUACACACCUUGGUGCUUCAUCCCUCACGCGGCGUUGCUGGUUCAGGCUUUCGCCCAUUGACCAAUAUUCCUCACUGCUGCCUCCCGUAGGAGUCUGGGCCGUAUCUCAGUCCCAGUGUGGCCGAUCACCCUCUCAGGUCGGCUACCGAUCGUAGCCUUGGUGAGCCAUUACCUCACCAACUAGCUAAUCGGGCGCAGGCUCAUCUUGGAGCGCUCGGAAGCUUUAACAACCAAUCCAUAGAACUGAUUGUAUCAUCCGGUAUUAGCCCCGCUUUCGCGAGGUUGUCCCAAACUCCAAGGUAGAUUACCUACGUGUUACUCACCCGUUCGCCGGUUUACUAAGGAUAUUGCUACCCUAUUCUCCCUGACUUGCAUGUGUUAGGCACGCCGCCAGCGUUCGUC